CCUACGGGUGGCAGCAGUGGGGAAUAUUGGACAAUGGGGGCAACCCUGAUCCAGCCAUGCCGCGUGUGUGAAGAAGGCCCUCGGGUUGUAAAGCACUUUCAGUGAGGAAGAACGCCUGGUGGUUAAUACCCAUCAGGAAAGACAUCACUCACAGAAGAAGCACCGGCUAACUCCGUGCCAGCAGCCGCGGUAAUACGGAGGGUGCGAGCGUUAAUCGGAAUUACUGGGCGUAAAGCGCGCGUAGGUGGCUUGAUAAGCCGGUUGUGAAAGCCCCGGGCUCAACCUGGGAACGGCAUCCGGAACUGUCAAGCUAGGGUGCAGGAGAGGAAGGUAGAAUUCCCGGUGUAGCGGUGAAAUGCGUAGAGAUCGGGAGGAAUACCAGUGGCGAAGGCGGCCUUCUGGACUGACACUGACACUGAGGUGCGAAAGCGUGGGUAGCAAACAGGAUUAGAAACCCUGGUAGUC
RNAcentral lists this ribosomal RNA (465 nucleotides) under Vreelandella stevensii. Its description in RNAcentral is "partial 16S ribosomal RNA". It matches the Rfam family "Bacterial small subunit ribosomal RNA", at positions 338 to 795 of the family's 1533-position model. Lineage: Bacteria; Pseudomonadati; Pseudomonadota; Gammaproteobacteria; Oceanospirillales; Halomonadaceae. The record is from RNAcentral.